Molecule: ribosomal RNA, 263 nt
Filed under: uncultured bacterium
Lineage: Bacteria
Description: partial 16S ribosomal RNA
Rfam family: Bacterial small subunit ribosomal RNA
Source: RNAcentral
CUUAGUGGCGGACGGGUGAGUAACGCGUGGGUAACCUGCCUUGCACUGGGGGAUAACACUUAGAAAUAGGUGCUAAUACCGCAUAAGCGCACGGUCCUGCAUGGGACAGUGUGAAAAACUCCGGUGGUGCAAGAUGGACCCGCGUCUGAUUAGCUGGUUGGCGGGGUAAAGGCCCACCAAGGCGACGAUCAGUAGCCGGCCUGAGAGGGUGGACGGCCACAUUGGGACUGAGACACGGCCCAAACUCCUACGGGAGGCAGCAG